Molecule: ribosomal RNA, 490 nt
Filed under: uncultured bacterium
Lineage: Bacteria
Description: partial 16S ribosomal RNA
Rfam family: Bacterial small subunit ribosomal RNA
Source: RNAcentral
AUUGAACGCUGGCGGCAGGCCUAACACAUGCAAGUCGAAUGGUAACAGGAAACAGCUUGCUGUUUCGCUGACGAGUGGCGGACGGGUGAGUAAUGUCUGGGAAACUGCCUGAUGGAGGGGGAUAACUACUGGAAACGGUAGCUAAUACCGCAUAACGUCGCAAGACCAAAGAGGGGGACCUUCGGGCCUCUUGCCAUCAGAUGUGUCCAGAUGGGAUUAGCUAGUAGGUGGGGUAACGGCUCACCUAGGCGACGAUCCCUAGCUGGUCUGAGAGGAUGACCAGCCACACUGGAACUGAGACACGGUCCAGACUCCUACGGGAGGCAGCAGUGGGGAAUAUUGCACAAUGGGCGCAAGCCUGAUGCAGCCAUGCCGCGUGUAUGAAGAAGGCCUUCGGGUUGUAAAGUACUUUCAGCGGGGAGGAAGGGAGUAAAGUUAAUACCUUUGCUCAUUGACGUUACCCGCAGAAGAAGCACCGGCUAACUCCGUG